Molecule: long non-coding RNA, 5791 nt
Organism: Cyprinus carpio carpio
Lineage: Eukaryota; Metazoa; Chordata; Actinopteri; Cypriniformes; Cyprinidae
Source: Ensembl
AUCUUGGAAUGGUAUACAACAUGAUCAUAAGUCAUGGGUCUGAAUUAGAACAUAUCUGAGGUUAUUAUUACGUACCUGUGCCUAGCAUCAGGUAAAGUUUGUGUCAUUGAGUGUAAAAAGCAACAGCCUUUUUUGCUACAGCAGGUCCCAGUCACAGCCAGAGUCGAAAGACUGGUGUCUCUCAUAUCAGGGCUCCUGAAACCAGUGCGGAAAUGACCAGUGACUUUCCUUCCGUUACUGCAGGUGUGUUAUUUAUUUUGACUUCACUGGUUCAAAACAGUAUGUUCAUUUAUUAUAAAAUGGCCAUUGUUCAAUGCUAUUCUCUUUUGUUGUAAUAAACUACUGUUUUUAAAUAUUUUGCAUUGUUUUAAAAGAGUCCUUCCUUCAAGAGCUUAAAAGCUCACUGUUUGAGGAAAUACAUGAGGAUGAAACGGUACUUCAAGCCUCAACAGACUGGUCGACCCGAAAGAGCCUCAUAUCAGGGUGGUGGGAGAAAGAGAGACCCCGACUGGUCAACACCAUGGUGGCUGGACAACAUGCGGCAACUCGGAUCUGCCAACAUUGUGGAAAUGGUCCAGCCGUAAUCCGUUGUUGUGACUGCCGACCACACCCAUUCCUCUGUGGCCAGUGUGAUGUCAGGGUCCACCGAGGUCAAGUGUUCCACAACAGGGAUUCGAUGACACAUGCAUUCUUUCAUCCAUUGCCUCCCACAACUUGUGUUGUGGAGAGGGUUCUAACCCAGUGUGGUAAGUUGUAGUUUUUAAAAGUCACAUUCUUAGACUUGACUGAAAAACUGAUAGGUCGAUGAAGCAGUCAAGUACAUCUUGUUUAAAAUAGUUGCCAGUAAAUAAAUGUUAUUUUUUAAUGCUUAUCCAUGUGUUUUUUGUUUUUUUCAAGAGCGUCUUGUACCUUUGGAGAUGCCAGAGACAAUAUGCGGUUGUCUACGAGUAUCGUCCAGUGUCAUCGCAGGACAGUCCAUAGUUGUGGUUACAAUGAAUGGUAAGAAGAACUUUAGAUUGCCUCAGAUUAGAUGCAAAGCAUGUGAAGCCACUUGGAGUCCUGGAGUGGAUGACCUGAUCCGUAAUGACUACUGGCCUGCCACUUCUCACUAUUCAACUGUGUAUGCAACAGAUGUCCUUUUUUUCUUUUUGAAGAGCUGAAGAUGGCAGCACCAGGGAUGUCUAGCCAAGCAUUUCUUAGAAUGCUGGAUCAACGCACUGUUCGAUUUGGCCGUGUAAGUAUUUGUGGUAAUAAUUGCGUAACUCCAUAAAUAAUACUAUGAGGGCAUGAUGAUGAUGAUAGUACACAUGAACAUUUGCACUGUUUAGGAAAAAAGUUGUGUUCAAUUUAGACCCUUUAUAAACAACCAUAAACUCAUGUUCUCUCAUCAGCAGUUUGCACUGAGACAUUUCCAACAGGUAAUUCUGAAGAUCUCAACUUCUACUCCAUUGGCUACAGACUUUGACAUCUUCUCCCCAAUAUCAUUUCCUGAUCCCAGAAGUGUUCCCUUGGAUUAAUGGCCCAAACACUGCACAGGCUUACUUCUAAACAAUAUUGUAGCUGUUGUAGCCCUCUUUGUGUAAAGAUUUAAACUGAAUGUCAAACAAUAUCCUGUAUUUUUAAUGGCCAGGUCCCCCAAAUACACCAGUGUAUAGUGUAUGAGUGAAGUCUACACAUUGUUUAUUUCCUUUGAUAUGUAUUCUAAGGAGUGGUUACGAAGUUAGUACAAACAUCCCAUAUGUAUCCAUUUAGAACAUUUUACUUCAGUGUAGUAUAUUGUUUAAUUUGAUCCGUUUUACUGUUCUCUUUUGUUCUCUUUUACUGAACUCUUCUUUGAAACAGAGUGGAAACAUCACAGCAGACAGCUUCCGGAAAAAGCUUCUUGGAGUGGGAAGCUGUCCGAUUCGAAGUGGACAAAUUAUGCCAGGAGGACCACUUUGACUGCCCAGCGUGCAGCCCAGACAUGCUUGCAGUAUCCGUUGAUGGAAACCGUAAGCACUACAGAUUCAAGAGUGCAGCAAGGUACUGUGUGUGCAUUGACGGUCCAUUACUUUGAAAGUAACUGCUGUGAAUUGAAAAUCAUAUGAAUAUUUAAAGUUAAUAUGUAUCUCUUUUAUUUAGAUCGGAGGAAAAAGCCAUCUUUGAUGGCGUGUUCAUCGCAAAUGAUGAUGAUGUCGCAAGAUUCGUGGACUAUGUCCAUACCUCAACCAGUCAUGUAAACUUGCACAACUUCUCUAUAUUUACCUAUAAAACACCACGUCCUACAGAGGACUUAGUUUGAACAAGUUUGGAAUGUUAAACAUCUUCCAUGUUUUAGGUCUCUGGAAGAGGUGUCUGUGGAGGGCAAUGGUCAGCGGCGCGUGAAACUUCUCAGAAGUCCUCAGGAAAAACAGACGAGGAGGGCCUGGAACUCGCUGUAUGUCGUCAUGGGGUUCUCCUUCGUGCCCUCAAUAUGUUCAGGGGGAGAUUUUUUUGCCUACCCCCUGUACCUCCAAAAGCAAAUGGCCUGUAAGCCAGUUAAAUUUUUUGCAAUGGAUGUGGCAUGCAAGUACUGGCCUUACCUCCAGAGAGUGACAGAGAAAUGCCCUGAGCUUGAGGAUCUCCUCACCAUGAGGCCAUUUCUUUCUGUUUUUCAUGCCAAAGCUCAUGAUUUCAAAUGUGAGGUAAGAAAAAAUGAUUGUCCAUGAUAUUUUCUUUCCCUAAAAUCCUGCAUAAGAUUGUUGCCACUUAGGUUUUGUUUUUUUGUUUUCUUUUUUAAAGGUAAAAUGGAGUGGAGCAUAUCAGGAGGGGGCUGGUUCGACUCUUGGGGAAGAGGUGGAGCAGUGCAACGCCUUCCUCUCGAGGAUUGCUGUUACGACAAAGCACAUGUCAAAAGCAGGUAAGGUAACCAGUAAAUUUUGAUCCUGAUGACAUGGGUGAGCCACUUAUGCAUACAUGCUGACUCUGAAAAUAUAAAGAUCAGAAUAUAUUAAACACAAAUGGAUGGAUCGAUUACAAUAACAUCAUCCUAUUUUAUUUGACGUGAGGAUAAUAAGGAAGGGCAGUGCGAUAUAAAAAAAACACAUCCAAGUACCAUUCACCUACUGUCCUGCCAUAGUGCUCCAUACCAUUUAAAUACUGUCCUGCGCCACUGUGUCAUGCUAUUUCUUCACUAUCCUGUGCGAUUUACCUAACCCUUUCAUGGGACAGUAAUCAAAUGGCACAAGACAGCAGAUUAGUACCAUAGUACUGUACUGUAAGUUAUUAUCUCUGAAAAGUUUGUGAUUCAAGUCUGCACAGUUUCUUCUCCUACUGCUACUGGAAAGAAGGGUGAUAAUCUCAUAUUUUUUAUUUUUGCAGGACGCAUAGACAUGCUGACGAUCAUGGCCAUGCGCUGGAACCAACAAAAGUUUGACAACUUGGCUUCUACCCUUGCCCGCCGAUAUCGGAAGGUAAAGACACCAGUUUUCCCUUAUGCAAAAUGCAUAGCGAUAUUGUAAAAUAAAGCAAAUAAAUGGCAUAUAUCACAAAAAUAUAGAGAACACUUGCCCAGAUAUUCUUUAAUAUAUAUUAAAUAUACGGAUGGUUGCAUGUGUAGUGUCAAUUGUAUUUUUUAGUGUCUUGAUAUAAAAUAUUACAUGUUCAUACCACAUAUAUUGAUAGUCCACGUAUAUACGAAUAUACUGUAUAUUUAAUUAGUGUUGUAUGUGGUUUUCUAAUAGUGAAGGUACUUCACAAUCCUUAUCAACAAUAGUCAAAGUGGUAGGCGUUUUCCUCAUUGUCAUUUAUGUUUGAAGGCCACAAUAGCCCUGCAAUGCCAGUUGCAUAACCUGGAGGCCAUGAAAACGGAAAUGGACGUCUCAGACAAUCAACUGGAGAGGUGGAUCAUUGAUAUCAAUGAGUGGGCAGAAGGUAGGAUAUACUGUUUUUAUACUGUUUGAUAUGGUGCUUGAUGUAUCACUUCUGACUUAUUUUGGCUGCAAUUCCAAAGAGGCUCAUUGUAAUCGUAGUCAAAGAGCACAUACUCUGAUUGCUGAUGACGUGUGGACAAGAUUAUCCCUAUGGGGACAAUAAAGAACCUAACUAUACUCAACCUUAGCUACAAGUGUAGCCUCUCAGUUACAGAUAAAUAUGAAAAAGAUUGUUGAGGCUUUAUUUUUGCUCAUACACCAGAAAUAAUAUUUUUUCAUGGAAUCAAGAAGCAUAUUUCUUAUCUCUUAAUUUCUUCCUCUCAGCAACAACAUCCCCAAAUGAUGCUGAUGUUGCCGCUGUUGCCAGCCGAAUUGAGGAGCUGGUGGCAAGUGUUAAGAGGAGGUCCCAGCGUCUUUACAAGGAUAGUGACGGAUGCAAAGGGACGUGCCCGAAUCCGCCGAAAGAUCAGGGAGGAAAAAUCUUAAAUUCUGUAGUGGAAAAAGUACAACACCUUGGUUCCUAAUGCAGAAAAACUGUCAUUGGACACCAUUCUAUCUGAUGAGAUUGUUUGGCCAUGGCAGCUUACACACGGUGGUAUGUACACAAUUCCAUUGUCACAUAGUGGGACAAAAUCUGUCAUGCCUCGAUUUUACACCUGAAAAUCUCUAAAUACUAAUCUCAAAUACAACCGACUUAUGUUUCAUCUAUGUAUUCCAGACUCUGUUGAUCUAAGGACAAAGAGGAAGGCGUUCGACAUUGUGAUGGCAGUAAGGAGACUUGAGGAGGAGAAGAGGAUUCUUAUUGCAGAGAUGAACAAGCAUUGGAAGUCUCUUUGCUCCCGUGCAGACACCCUGAAGCAGAUGUCAUCCAAGCUUUCUAAUGUGACAUCAGGUAUGUAUUUGUUAUACUUGGCAUACAUUACAAUAUUUCUGAAUGUUUUUAAUUAAUAAAGGCUCAAUAUGUUUUAACAUGUAAGGUGAGACUUGGGGCCUGCUUCAAGAUGGUAUCCGAGGUCUACAAAGCUUGACGAUGAAGAACAAGCGAGCAAGCAACAGCCUGGCAAAGCAUGCAAAGAAAUAUUAUGUUCAAGUUCUGACUGAAACAGAAAUUAACUUUGAUAGUGAUUCUGAGGAAUACCAUACCAGUAGUGACUCUGAGCAAGAUUAAACAUGGCCAGAGUCCUUUUUUUAUGCUGUUGUGUGCUGGGGAGGCAGCAUUAAAGAAGAGGGCCGCUGGGACAGGUUGUUAAGGAAAGCUGGCUCUGUGUUUGGCAUGGAGCUGGAGUUAAUUAUUUAACAAACUGAGGAUAAUUUGCAGUAGCAGUCUUCUGUCAUGCUCAACAUUGAGGAGGUCCUUUGUCCCCAGGGCAUACCAGCAACUCAAUGUCACAGAAAAGGUUAGGGGAGAAAUUGACUUUUCAGCAUGAGUCUCACCCUGCGCCAACCAUUACAUCGCUUUGUCUAUUGUCUAGUAUCCACUAUCCAUUUGACUGUCUUACAGGCUACAUUAGCCCCUCUACACAUUCUGAACUGUGGUUUCAACAUUUACCCCUGUUGGCUUGUAUAAUCUUUUUUUCUUUUUUUAUAUAUAUUUAAGUUUCUGUUUUUUUCUAUCUAUUUUAACUUCUUUGUAUUGUUUUUUUGUUAAGCAAUACUAUUAUGCUCAGACUCUUUUUUUCCAUAGUCAUAUUAAACAUGCACAGCUUUGCACUGAUUAAAUCCCUGCACUGUUUACUUUUUGCACUACCACCACUGCAAAUCACUCUAUAGUUGCCCAUCAUGUAUCACAGGGUCAGUCCCUACCAGGCCUUUGUAAUCACUUGACAUGCUCUUCACUUUUUUUACAUUUGUGAUUUUUUUGUUAUGUGUCUGAGUUGUGUGUUUUUUUGUGGUUGUAUAAG